Molecule: ribosomal RNA, 510 nt
Filed under: Agrobacterium sp. CSeB0_44
Lineage: Bacteria; Pseudomonadati; Pseudomonadota; Alphaproteobacteria; Hyphomicrobiales; Rhizobiaceae
Description: bacterial SSU rRNA
Rfam family: Bacterial small subunit ribosomal RNA
Source: RNAcentral
CGGGUCUAGUGGCGCACGGGUGCGUAACGCGUGGGAACCUGCCCUUAGGUUCGGAAUAACUCAGAGAAAUUUGAGCUAAUACGGGAUAAUGUCUUCGGACCAAAGAUUUAUCGCCUUUGGAUGGGCCCGCGUUGGAUUAACUAGUUGGUGGGGUAAAGGCCUACCAGGGCGACGAUCCAUAGCUGGUCUGAGAGGAUGAUCAGCCACGCUGGGACUGAGACACGGCCCAUACUCCUACGGGAGGCAGCAGUGGGGAAUAUUGGACAAUGGGCGAAAGCCUGAUCCAGCAAUGCCGCGUGAGUGAUGAACGCCUUAGGGUUGUAAAGCUCUUUUACCAGGGAUGAUAAUGACAGUACCUGGAGAAUAAGCUCCGGCUAACUCCGUGCCAGCAGCCGCGGUAAUACGGAGGGAGCUAGCGUUGUUCAGAAUUACUGGGCGUAAAGCGCACGUAGGCGGCUUUUUAAGUCAGGGGUGAAAUCCCGGGGCUCAACCCCGGAACUGCCUUUGAGA